Molecule: transfer RNA, 84 nt
Filed under: Spirochaetales bacterium
Lineage: Bacteria; Pseudomonadati; Spirochaetota; Spirochaetia; Spirochaetales
Description: tRNA-Leu
Rfam family: tRNA
About the family: Transfer RNA (tRNA) molecules are approximately 80 nucleotides in length. Their secondary structure includes four short double-helical elements and three loops (D, anti-codon, and T loops).
Source: RNAcentral
GCCGGAGUGAUGGAAUUGGUAGACGUGCUAGACUCAAAAUCUUGUGGGCGUACGCCCGUGUCGGUUCGAGUCCGACCUCCGGCA